UACGUAGGUGGCAAGCGUUGUCCGGAAUUAUUGGGCGUAAAGCGCGCGCAGGCGGUCUUUUAAGUCUGAUGUGAAAGCCCCCGGCUCAACCGGGGAGGGUCAUUGGAAACUGGGAGAUUUGAGUGCAGAAGAGAAGAGUGGAAUUCCACGUGUAGCGGUGAAAUGCGUAGAGAUGUGGAGGAACACCAGUGGCGAAGGCGACUCUUUGGUCUGUAACUGACGCUGAGGCGCGAAAGCGUGGGGAGCAAACAGG
RNAcentral lists this ribosomal RNA (253 nucleotides) under uncultured bacterium. Its description in RNAcentral is "partial 16S ribosomal RNA". It matches the Rfam family "Bacterial small subunit ribosomal RNA", at positions 524 to 776 of the family's 1533-position model. The record is from RNAcentral.